CAUAAAAACUAGAAGAAGAAGAAGAAACAGAAAAAAGAAAAAAAAGAAAAGAAAA
This 55-nucleotide non-coding RNA is filed under the name Durinskia baltica. The record is from RNAcentral. Lineage: Eukaryota; Dinophyceae; Peridiniales; Kryptoperidiniaceae.